Molecule: ribosomal RNA, 485 nt
Filed under: uncultured Bacillota bacterium
Lineage: Bacteria; Bacillati; Bacillota
Description: bacterial SSU rRNA
Rfam family: Bacterial small subunit ribosomal RNA
Source: RNAcentral
UAGGGAAUCUUCCACAAUGGGCGAAAGCCUGAUGGAGCAACGCCGCGUGAGUGAUGAAGGCCUUCGGGUUGUAAAACUCUGUCUUCUGUGACGAACAAGCCUGUGAGUGGAAAGCUCAGGCCCUGACGGUAACAGAGGAGGAAGCCACGGCUAACUACGUGCCAGCAGCCGCGGUAAUACGUAGGUGGCGAGCGUUGUCCGGAAUCACUGGGCGUAAAGCGCGCGCAGGCGGCGAUCUACGUCUGGGGUGAAAGCCCGGAGCUCAACUCCGGGACUGCCUUGGAUACGGGAUCGCUUGAGGAUUGGAGAGGCAAGGGGAAUUCCACGUGUAGCGGUGAAAUGCGUAGAGAUGUGGAGGAACACCUGUGGCGAAGGCGCCUUGCUGGCCAAUUACUGACGCUGAGGCGCGAAAGCGUGGGGAGCAAACAGGAUUAGAUACCCUGGUAGUCCACGCCGUAAACGAUGAGUGCUAGGUGUUGGGGGUA